UGUCUUAUAGUUUAGGUGCUUUAUUUUCUCUUUGCCAAGGAGAAGAUGCGGGUUCGAUCCCCGCUAUCCGCC
Molecule: transfer RNA, 72 nt
Filed under: Magnolia x alba
Lineage: Eukaryota; Viridiplantae; Streptophyta; Magnoliopsida; Magnoliales; Magnoliaceae
Description: Magnolia alba tRNA-Gly
Source: RNAcentral